UGCUCAGCCAAAACGAGGCACGGCGCACAGCUCAGUAACACGUGGCUAACCUGCCCUUUAGGACGAGAAUAACCCCGGGAAACUGGGGCUAAUGCUCGAUAGGUGAAGAACUCUGGAAUGAGUCUUCACUUAAAAGAGUCUGCGUUAUGCUCGUAGAUUUCGCUUAAGGAUGGGGCCGCGACCGAUCAGGUUGUUGGUGAGGUAAUGGCUCACCAAGCCUUUUACCGGUGCGGGCCGUGAGAGCGGGAGCCCGGAGAUGGGCACUGAGACAAGGGCCCAGGCCCUACGGGGCGCAGCAGUCGCGAAAACUUUGCAAUACACGAAAGUGUGACAGGGCUAUCCCGAGUGCCAUCCGCUGAGGAAGGCUCUUACCCAGUCUAGAACGCUGGGGGAAUAAGGAGAGGGCAAGUCUGGUGUCAGCCGCCGCGGUAAUACCAGCUCUCCGAGUGGUGUGGAUGUUUAUUGGGCCUAAAGCAUCCGUAGCUGGCUAGGUAAGUCCCUUGUUAAAUCCACCGAAUUAAUCGUUGGAUCGCGGGGGAUACUGCUUGGCUAGGGGACGAGAGAGGCAGACGGUAUUUCCGGGGUAGGGGUGAAAUCCUAUAAUCCCGGGAAGACCACCAGUGGCGAAGGCUGUCUGCUAGAACGCGCCCGACGGUGAGGGAUGAAAGCUGGGGGAGCGAACCGGAUUAGAUACCCGGGUAGUCCCAGCUGUAAACGAUGCAGGCUAGGUGUUUGGACGGCCACGUGCCGUUCUAGUGCCGCAGGGAAGCUGUUAAGCCUGCCGCCUGGGGAGUACGAUCGCAAGAUUGAAACUUAAAGGAAUCGGCGGGGGAGCACCACAAGGGGUGAAGCUUGCGGUUUAAUUGGAGUCAACGCCGGG
RNAcentral lists this ribosomal RNA (880 nucleotides) under uncultured archaeon. Its description in RNAcentral is "bacterial SSU rRNA". It matches the Rfam family "Archaeal small subunit ribosomal RNA", at positions 63 to 922 of the family's 1478-position model. The record is from RNAcentral.